Molecule: ribosomal RNA, 439 nt
Filed under: uncultured eukaryote
Lineage: Eukaryota
Description: SSU rRNA
Rfam family: Eukaryotic small subunit ribosomal RNA
Source: RNAcentral
GUUAAAAAGCUCGUAGUUGGAUUUCUGGGAGGGUGCCGCCGUCCGGCUGUCCGUGUGCAGUGGCGCCCUUCCAUCCUUCUGUUAGCGUCUCUUGGCAUUCAUUUGCUGGUGGCGGGCUCAGAUAUUUUACCUUGAGAAAAUUAGAGUGUUUCAGGCAGGCUAGGCCGGAAUACAUUAGCAUGGAAUAAUGGAAUAGGACUACGGUCUCUUUGUUGGUUUGAGGGACUGCAGUAAUGAUUAAUAGGGAUAGUUGGGGGCAUUAGUAUUUAAUUGUCAGAGGUGGAAUUCUCAGAUUUGUUAAAGACUAACUUAUGCGAAAGCAUUUGCCAAGGAUGUUUUCAUUAAUCAAGAACGAAAGUUAGGGGAUCAAAGACGAUCAGAUACCGUCCUAGUCUUAACCCAUAAACUAUGCCGACUCGGGAUCGGGGGCGUGUUCUAU